GAUCAUGGCUCAGGAUGAACGCUGGGCGGCGUGCUUAACACAUGCAAGUCGAACGGAGUUUUUAAACGGAAGUUUUCGGAUGGAAGUUUAAGAACUUAGUGGCGGACGGGUGAGUAACGCGUGGGUAACCUGCCUCAGUACAGGGGGAUAACAGUUAGAAAUGACUGCUAACACCGCAUAAUAUAGUGAAACCGCAUGAUUUUUGCUAUCAAAUAUUUAUAGGUAUGAGAUGGGCCCGCGUCUGAUUAGCUAGUUGGUGGGGUAAAAGCCUACCAAGGCGACGAUCAGUAGCCGGCUUGAGAGAGUGACCGGCCACAUUGGGACUGAGACACGGCCCAAACUCCUACGGGAGGCAGCAGUGGGGAAUAUUGGACAAUGGGGGAAACCCUGAUCCAGCGACGCCGCGUGAGUGAAGAAGUAUUUCGGUAUGUAAAGCUCUAUCAGCAGGGAAGAUAAUGACAGUACCUGACUAAGAAGCCCCGGCUAACUACGUGCCAGCCGCCGC
Molecule: ribosomal RNA, 505 nt
Filed under: uncultured bacterium
Lineage: Bacteria
Description: bacterial SSU rRNA
Rfam family: Bacterial small subunit ribosomal RNA
Source: RNAcentral